This 270-nucleotide ribosomal RNA is filed under the name uncultured bacterium. Its description in RNAcentral is "partial 16S ribosomal RNA". It matches the Rfam family "Bacterial small subunit ribosomal RNA", at positions 524 to 793 of the family's 1533-position model. The record is from RNAcentral.
UACAGAGGUGGCAAGCGUUGUUCGGAUUUAUUGGGCGUAAAGGGUCCGUAGGCGGUUUGAAAAGUCAGAUGUGAAAUCCCGCAGCUCAACUGCGGAACUGCAUUUGAAACUUUCAGACUAGAGUAUGAGAGGGGUAAAGGGAAUUCCCGGUGUAAGGGUGAAAUCUGCAGAGAUCGGGAGGAACACCAGUCGCGAAGGCGCUUUACUGGCUCAUUACUGACGCUCAGGGACGAAAGCUAGGGUAGCAAACGGGAUUAGAAACCCUGGUAG